Molecule: unclassified non-coding RNA, 240 nt
Filed under: soil metagenome
Description: partial contains 5.8S ribosomal RNA, internal transcribed spacer 2, and large subunit ribosomal RNA
Source: RNAcentral
AACGGUCUAUACCUGCGGUACCUGCGGAGGGAUCAUUAAUGAGAAGCUGCCCCUCGUGGGUAGACCUCCCACCCUCUGUGAACUUACCUUUGUUGCUUUGGCAGGCCCGUCCUCUGGACCGCCGGCUUCGGCUGGCCCGUGCCUGCCAGAGGAUUCCAAACCCUGUCUGUCAGUGUUGUCUGAGUCUAUAUGAAAUCGUUAAAACUUUCAACAACGGAUCUCUAGAUCGGAAGAGCACAC